This 668-nucleotide long non-coding RNA is filed under the name Homo sapiens (human). RNAcentral describes it as "non-protein coding lnc-SDE2-1:12". The record is from RNAcentral. Lineage: Eukaryota; Metazoa; Chordata; Mammalia; Primates; Hominidae.
CUUCCCGCCUGCGCGCUCGGCCAAGUGCGGCCGGGUCCUGCGGGACCGGCCCGAGUCCGCCGUAGACAACUUGAUCCGCUAAGACUCCUGGGCCGGCCGCCUGCGUGCAGGGCAGCCCCUCGCCGGUGUUGGCCUCCGGGAUCAGGGGACGGGGCUCGCUCUCCUCCCGGGCCCGGGCCCCCGACGCAAGAUGGCUGUGUCGCGUCGGCCUCUAAACAAUGUGUGGAGCGCGCAGCUCCUGCACCAGGGCCUGGUGGCUUGUCCUGCCCGCCCGUGGGGGCCGUGUGAUCUGUUUUCGGAAACCGAAAUAUUUAUUGUUGGAUUUAUCCAGGAAGGCUGUUCUGCAUUAGUUAAAUGCAUCAUAUCUUCAAGAAAUGUUAAAUGACAUGGGUAAUGUUUUCUUUGUAUGCUGGAUUUUUCAAUAGCUUCUACUUCUUGGCUUUAAAAAAUAUUUCUAACCAAGGGUCAGACCAUUUUAGGUAGAGUAAUUAUGAUCUUAGAUGAUUUGAACUAACUCAGCUGUCUGUCCAUUUGUGAAAUGGGAAUAAUAAUAUUUAUCUCUAUGAAGUUAGGCCACAAAUUCUUUCUAGUAGGUUCAAGUAUUUAAGCACCUGGAGAGGUGACUGGUUACCCUCCUAGUGGCUUCAGGAAGUUUUCUCACUGAAUGA